GAUGAAGAACGUAGCGAAAUGCGAUAAGUAGUGUGAAUUGCAGAAUUCAGUGAAUCAUCGAAUCUUUGAACGCACAUUGCGCCCUUUGGUAUUCCUUAGGGCAUGCCUGUUCGAGCGUCAUUUAAACCCUUCAAGCUCAGCUUGGUGUUGGGUGACUGUCCGCCGCCCCCGGGCGCGGACUCGCCCCAAAUUCAUUGGCGGCCGGUACGUAGGCUUCGAGCGCAGCAGAAACGCGAACUCGGGCCCGCGGUGUCGGCUCCCAGAAGCCAUCUCUUUUAUUUUGACCUCGGAUCAGGUAGGGAUACCCGCUGAACUUAAGCAUAUCAAUAAGCGGGGA
This 337-nucleotide unclassified non-coding RNA is filed under the name soil metagenome. RNAcentral describes it as "partial contains 5.8S ribosomal RNA, internal transcribed spacer 2, and large subunit ribosomal RNA". The stretch from base 1 to 120 matches the Rfam family "5.8S ribosomal RNA", at positions 35 to 154 of the family's 154-position model. The record is from RNAcentral.